GACGAACGCUGGCGGCGUGCUUAACACAUGCAAGUCGAACGAAAAUACCAAGCUUGCUUGGUUGAUUAGUGGCGAACGGGUGAGUAACACGUGAGUAACCUGCCCCUUACUUUCCUGGAUAACUGCUCGAAAGGGUAGCUAAUACGGGAUAUUCUGACCAUCCUGCAUGGGUUGGUUUGGAAAGGUUGUUUUUCUGGUAAGGGAUGGGCUCGCGGCCUAUCAGCUUGUUGGUGGGGUGAUGGCCUACCAAGGCUUUGACGGGUAGCCGGCCUGAGAGGGUGGACGGUCACACUGGGACUGAGAUACGGCCCAGACUCCUACGGGAGGCAGCAGUGGGGAAUAUUGCACAAUGGGCGCAAGCCUGAUGCAGCGACGCCGCGUGAGGGAUGAAGGCCUUCGGGUUGUAAACCUCUUUCGUCAGGGAACAAGGCAUUGCCUUUUUUGGUGGUGUUGAGGGUACCUGGAUAAGAAGCGCCGGCUAACUACGUGCCAGCAGCCGCGGUAAUACGUAGGGCGCAAGCGUUGUCCGGAAUUAUUGGGCGUAAAGAGCUCGUAGGCGGCUGGUCGCGUCUGUCGUGAAAACUUCCGGCUCAACCGGGGGCUUGCGGUGGGUACGGGCCGGCUAGAGUGCGGUAGGGGUAACUGGAACUCCUGGUGUAGCGGUGGAAUGCGCAGAUAUCAGGAAGAACACCGAUGGCGAAGGCAGGUUACUGGGCCGUUACUGACGCUGAGGAGCGAAAGCGUGGGGAGCGAACAGG
This 758-nucleotide ribosomal RNA is filed under the name uncultured Actinomyces sp. Its description in RNAcentral is "bacterial SSU rRNA". It matches the Rfam family "Bacterial small subunit ribosomal RNA", at positions 28 to 776 of the family's 1533-position model. The record is from RNAcentral. Lineage: Bacteria; Bacillati; Actinomycetota; Actinomycetes; Actinomycetales; Actinomycetaceae.